RNAcentral lists this ribosomal RNA (791 nucleotides) under uncultured soil bacterium. RNAcentral's name for it is "bacterial SSU rRNA". It matches the Rfam family "Bacterial small subunit ribosomal RNA", at positions 8 to 772 of the family's 1533-position model. The record is from RNAcentral.
AGAGUUUGAUCCUGGCUCAGAACGAACGCUGGCGGCGUGGAUAAGACAUGCAAGUCGAGCGCUGAUUUGAGGGUAGUAAUAUUUUCAAGUCGGAGCGGCGCAAGGGUGCGUAACACGUGGGCAAUCUGCCGUGAAGCCUGGAAUAACUCGCUGAAAGGCGAGCUAAUGCCGGAUGUGAAUGUUGGGGGGCCUCUCCUGACAUUCAAAGCUGGGGACCGCAAGGCCUGGCACUUUACGAUGAGCCCGCGGCCUAUCAGCUAGUUGGUGAGGUAACGGCUCACCAAGGCUAAGACGGGUAGCUGGUCUGAGAGGACGACCAGCCACACUGGAACUGAGACACGGUCCAGACACCUACGGGUGGCAGCAGUCGAGAAUUUUUCUCAGUGGGCGAAAGCCUGAAGGAGCGACGCCGCGUGGGGGAUGAAUGGCUUCGGCCCGUAAACCCCUGUCAUUUGCGAACAAAUUGCUUCACCUAACACGUGAAGCAUUGAUAGUAGCGGAAGAGGAAGGGACGGCUAACUCUGUGCCAGCAGCCGCGGUAAUACAGAGGUCCCAAGCGUUGUUCGGAUUCACUGGGCGUAAAGGGUGCGUAGGCGGCCGGGUAAGUCUGAUGUGAAAUCCCGCAGCUCAACUGCGGAACGGCAUUGGAUACUAUCCGGCUCGAGGGGUGGAGGGGAGACUGGAAUACUUGGUGUAGCAGUGAAAUGCGUAGAUAUCAAGUGGAACACCAGUGGCGAAGGCGAGUCUCUGGACACCUCCUGACGCUGAGGCACGAAAGCCAGGGGAGCAAA